UGGGGAAUCUUCCGCAAUGGACGAAAGUCUGACGGAGCAACGCCGCGUGAGUGAAGAAGGUUUUCGGAUCGUAAAGCUCUGUUUUCAGGGACGAACGGCAGAAAUAUGAAUAAUAUAUUUGCAUGACGGUACCUGAGGAGGAAGCCACGGCUAACUACGUGCCAGCAGCCGCGGUAAUACGUAGGUGGCAAGCGUUGUCCGGAAUUAUUGGGCGUAAAGGGCGUGUAGGCGGGGUAAUAAGUCUUUUGUAAAAGUGCGGGGCUCAACCCCGUAAGGUCAAUGGAAACUGUUAUUCUUGAGUGCAGGAGAGGAAAGUGGAAUUCCCAGUGUAGCGGUGAAAUGCGCAGAUAUUGGGAGGAACACCAGUGGCGAAGGCGCCUUUCUGGACUGUGUCUGACGCUGAGAUGCGAAAGCCAGGGUAGCGAACG
This 428-nucleotide ribosomal RNA is filed under the name uncultured bacterium. RNAcentral's name for it is "bacterial SSU rRNA". It matches the Rfam family "Bacterial small subunit ribosomal RNA", at positions 355 to 774 of the family's 1533-position model. The record is from RNAcentral.